CUCACUGAGGAGGAAAAGCUGCUGAACAGGAGGAUGAUGAAGUACUGGACCAACUUUGCAAGAUAUGGGAACCCCAACAGUGAGGGUCUCCCCUACUGGCCUGAGUUGAUCCAUGAUGAGCAGUACCUGAAGCUGGACAUCUAUCCUGCUGUGGGUCAAGGCCUGAAGGCCAGGAAGCUGCAGUUCUGGACAAAGACUCUGCCUCAGAAGAUCCAGGAGCUAAAGGGGGCUCAGGCCAACCAUGUAGAGCUUUAGUGCCAGUUACAGAAAAGAUGGGUGGAGUUGAGGGAAGAUGUGGACAUCCUGAGAUUAAAAAGUGUGUUUAUUUUACUUUAUUUGUUCCAACACUCACACAAGCAUUUUUAACCUCAGUAUUUGCUCUUUCAUUGUGUAUGACAAACCCUCUGUAUGGUACUCAUACUUCUGGGUACAUUUUAUUAGAAUCAAUAAAUGAUCUCACAACCAUA
Molecule: long non-coding RNA, 467 nt
Organism: Microtus ochrogaster (prairie vole)
Lineage: Eukaryota; Metazoa; Chordata; Mammalia; Rodentia; Cricetidae
Exons: 2
Source: RefSeq, a predicted model, not a curated record